This 105-nucleotide transfer RNA is filed under the name Dreissena polymorpha. It matches the Rfam family "tRNA". From Rfam's summary of the family: Transfer RNA (tRNA) molecules are approximately 80 nucleotides in length. Their secondary structure includes four short double-helical elements and three loops (D, anti-codon, and T loops). The record is from Rfam by way of RNAcentral. Lineage: Eukaryota; Metazoa; Mollusca; Bivalvia; Myida; Dreissenidae.
GCCGGAAUAGCUCAGUUGGGAGAGUGAUAGACUGAAGUUGAAAGCGCAACAAUCAUCUAAAGCCCCCCCCCCCCCCCCCCCCCGGUUCAAUCCCGGGUUCCGGCA